CCAGCCCCGAGAGGAACGCCUGCCUGGAUGUAGACGAGUGCGUGUCGUCUCUGGGCUCCGUCUGCAGCUCUCAGCGCUGUGAGAACACCAUCGGCUCGUACCGCUGCCUCGCCCCCUGUCCGCCCGGGCACCACGCGUCCCCCAGCGGCGCCUGCCAAGAUGUGGAUGAGUGCAGCGGGCCGCAGGUGUGUGGGGCCCACGCUCAUGUGUGAACCUGAUCGGACCUAUCGUGUCAGUGCGACGAGGGCUACAGCUCUGAGGCGGACGG
This 268-nucleotide long non-coding RNA is filed under the name Neogobius melanostomus (round goby). RNAcentral describes it as "lncRNA (ENSNMLG00000017789.1)". Lineage: Eukaryota; Metazoa; Chordata; Actinopteri; Gobiiformes; Gobiidae. The record is from RNAcentral.